RNAcentral lists this non-coding RNA (40 nucleotides) under Trypanosoma brucei brucei. Lineage: Eukaryota; Euglenozoa; Kinetoplastea; Trypanosomatida; Trypanosomatidae. The record is from RNAcentral.
ACAAUAAACGAAUAAGUCUCAGUGAAUAAGAUAGUUAAUU